This 378-nucleotide ribosomal RNA is filed under the name uncultured bacterium. RNAcentral describes it as "bacterial SSU rRNA". It matches the Rfam family "Bacterial small subunit ribosomal RNA", at positions 521 to 898 of the family's 1533-position model. The record is from RNAcentral.
UAAUACGUAGGUGGCAAGCGUUGUCCGGAUUUAUUGGGCGUAAAGCGCGCGCAGGCGGCUAUGUAAGUCUGGUGUUAAAGCCCGGGGCUCAACCCCGGUUCGCAUCGGAAACUGUGUAGCUUGAGUGUAGAAGAGGAAAGCGGUAUUCCACGUGUAGCGGUGAAAUGCGUAGAGAUGUGGAGGAACACCAGUGGCGAAGGCGGCUUUCUGGUCUGUAACUGACGCUGAGGCGCGAAAGCGUGGGGAGCAAACAGGAUUAGAUACCCUGGUAGUCCACGCCGUAAACGAUGAGUGCUAGGUGUUGGGGGUUUCAAUACCCUCAGUGCCGCAGCUAACGCAAUAAGCACUCCGCCUGGGGAGUACGCUCGCAAGAGUGAA